This 253-nucleotide ribosomal RNA is filed under the name uncultured bacterium. RNAcentral describes it as "partial 16S ribosomal RNA". It matches the Rfam family "Bacterial small subunit ribosomal RNA", at positions 524 to 776 of the family's 1533-position model. The record is from RNAcentral.
UACGAAGGGGGCUAGCGUUGCUCGGAAUCACUGGGCGUAAAGGGUGCGUAGGCGGGUCUUUAAGUCAGGGGUGAAAUCCUGGAGCUCAACUCCAGAACUGCCUUUGAUACUGAGGAUCUUGAGUUCGGAAGAGGGUCGUGGAAUUCCCAGUGUAGAGGUGAAAUUCGUAGAUAUUGGGAAGAACACCGGUGGCGAAGGCGGCGACCUGGUCCGAUACUGACGCUGAGGCGCGAAAGCGUGGGGAGCAAACAGG